GGGAACACUGAGGUACGUGCUCUUCUUUGUCAUGAUGAUCCGGACUUGGAGCUCGCUUUAGUCAAAGAAAUUCAAGUCCCUGUGCAGAGGGUCAACAUAGUACAGGCUCAUAAACCAAUGUAUGUGGCAUAAUGGGUCACCUUUGAGCACUAAUCAGAAGCGCAAACGCCAGUGAAUCACGCCACUAUACCAGCCCAACGUUGAAGCGUCACUAUACAUUUGGGCAGUUAGUGCGGUAACAAAGACACGCGAUUUGCUGCACUUUUUUUUCCAUAAUAUCCGUGUCCUUUGACAACCAUGAUAUGGCAAUUUCAAAAUAAGUGUUUGUACGGUUAUGGGAAUAAGGAAUGAUACACUUUAGUCUCUAAUAUUAAGGGUUUUACGAUAUUUUUUUAUAAAAAACGUGGAAGGUAAAUUUUCGUUUCUGUAUGCAUCGCUCGAACUUUAGCUUUAAAGGCAGUGGACACUAUUGGUAAUUGUCAAAGACAAUUCUUUUCUCUAGAUGCAUGUCAACAUAUACUUUAAAUAACCAACCUGUAAACAUUUGAACUUAACUGUAUAAACUAUACUACAUCGUUGCGGUACCCGCUGCCAAAACAUAGGAUUCGAACUGCCUCUAGCUGCCGGGUAAC
Molecule: long non-coding RNA, 632 nt
Organism: Asterias rubens (European starfish)
Lineage: Eukaryota; Metazoa; Echinodermata; Asteroidea; Forcipulatida; Asteriidae
Exons: 4
Source: RefSeq, a predicted model, not a curated record